AUGAUGGCUGCCCCCAAGGGUCUUCUGCUGGUUGCUCUAGUCUUGCUACUUGGAUAGCAGAUAAGAAAAGAAACAGCUUGCCGAAACACGGACACUCCCUGCACUUACGAGAUCAAGAAAAAAACUGGCUGAUGGCCGGGCCCGGUGCCUCAAGCCUGUAACCCCAGCACUUUGGGAGGCCAAGGUGGGCAGAUCACUUGAGGCCAGGAGUUCGAGACC
RNAcentral lists this long non-coding RNA (219 nucleotides) under Homo sapiens (human). Its description in RNAcentral is "HSALNT0405666". Lineage: Eukaryota; Metazoa; Chordata; Mammalia; Primates; Hominidae. The record is from RNAcentral.